RNAcentral lists this ribosomal RNA (303 nucleotides) under Triticum aestivum (bread wheat). RNAcentral describes it as "partial small subunit ribosomal RNA". Lineage: Eukaryota; Viridiplantae; Streptophyta; Magnoliopsida; Poales; Poaceae. The record is from RNAcentral.
AUGACUUUAUUUGAUGAUAAUCCCACUAUUUUGGAAGAGUGUCAACUUUGCAUGCAUGUGGAUCAUGAAGAGAAUAUUUUAUUUGAUAGUUAUAUUGUUGAAUUUGAUUAUGGUCCUACAUGUAAUUAUUAUGAGAGAGGAAAAUAUGGUUGUAAAAAUUUUCAUGUUAUUAAAUUACCUCUCGUUAUGUUGAGAUCGUCAAUGUUUUAUUGCCCUUCUUUGCAUAUGUUAGAUGUUUCUUGUCUUGAUAAUUUAUUUGCUUAUAAAAUUCCUAUGCAUAUGAAGUAUGUUAGACUUAAAUGA